UGCGUAGGCGGUUUAGCAAGUCUGGCGUGAAACCUACACCGCUUAACGGGUAGUUGUCGUUGGAAACUGCUAGGCUAGAGGACAGGAGAGGAGAGCGGAAUUCCUGGUGUAACGGUGGAAUGUGCAGAUAUCAGGAAGAACACCGGUGGCGAAGGCGGCUCUCUGGACUGUUCCUGACGCUGAGGCACGAAAGCUAGGGGAGCGAACG
Molecule: ribosomal RNA, 208 nt
Filed under: uncultured bacterium
Lineage: Bacteria
Description: partial 16S ribosomal RNA
Rfam family: Bacterial small subunit ribosomal RNA
Source: RNAcentral